RNAcentral lists this ribosomal RNA (512 nucleotides) under uncultured bacterium. Its description in RNAcentral is "bacterial SSU rRNA". It matches the Rfam family "Bacterial small subunit ribosomal RNA", at positions 17 to 518 of the family's 1533-position model. The record is from RNAcentral.
UUCUGGCUCAGGAUGAACGCUAGCGACAGGCUUAACACAUGCAAGUCGAGGGGCAUCACGGGAGUAGCAAUACAACUGGUGGCGACCGGCGCACGGGUGAGUAACGCGUAUGCAACCUACCUAGUCAGAGGGGAAUAACCCGGCGAAAGUCGGACUAAUACCGCAUAAAACAGGGGCACCGCAUGGUGAUAUUUGUUAAAGAAAUUCGCUGAUAGAUGGGCACGCGUUCCAUUAGGUAGUUGGUGAGGUAACGGCUCACCAAGCCGACGAUGGAUAGGGGAACUGAGAGGUUGGUCCCCCACACUGGUACUGAGACACGGACCAGACUCCUACGGGAGGCAGCAGUGAGGAAUAUUGGUCAAUGGGCGGGAGCCUGAACCAGCCAAGUCGCCGUGAAGGAAGAAGGAUCUAUGGUUCGUAAACUUCUUUUGCAGGGGAAUAAAGUGCAGGACGUGUCCUGUUUUGUAUGUACCCUGAGAAUAAGGAUCGGCUAACUCCGUGCCAGCCGCAGC